Physeter macrocephalus (sperm whale) is the source of this 325-nucleotide long non-coding RNA. RefSeq lists it as uncharacterized. The transcript is spliced from 3 exons. NCBI's taxonomy places the organism in Eukaryota, Metazoa, Chordata, Mammalia, Artiodactyla, Physeteridae. The record is from RefSeq and is a predicted model, not a curated record.
CUGGGGUGGAUUUGAUUGAGAGACUCUCUGAGGACGGCGGAUGGGGGGGAGUGGGCGGAGGGUCCAGGUCAGAGGCCAGUGAACUGUGAGGUUACAGCCCCAUAAACACUGGAUCCGCCUUCCCAGAGUGGGGUUUCUCAAGGCACCUGCUUCACGGGAUUGUCGAAGAGCACCUGAGCCCCGGGGCACAGAGGCCCUCACGUGGUAGCCAUUAUUCACCAGCCAGCACCUUUCAAGGGAGGGAAAACUUCAUUUCUAUUUUUGCUGCAACAAAUUCCCCACUGCUAGUUCAUCCCCUCCAUAUCAACAGAGGAAGGGAAACAGG